Molecule: long non-coding RNA, 382 nt
Organism: Xyrauchen texanus (razorback sucker)
Lineage: Eukaryota; Metazoa; Chordata; Actinopteri; Cypriniformes; Catostomidae
Exons: 3
Source: RefSeq, a predicted model, not a curated record
AAGCAAGUUGGGACAAUGUUGAAGACAUUUGCUCGCACUGGGCAAUCAGGUGCAGAUCAAACCCUAAUGCUGCGACGUCUUGGAGUUUGGCGAUGUUGUGCGUAGCAUGGACAACAAAAUGCUAUGCUGCAACAUUUCAGUGCCAAUGUGUCUGUUGGAGAGUUAUCCCUGCCAGGGGAUCUGUUACUCCCCCCUAGACACCCAGGAAGAUUUGGCGUUGCUUGACAACAGUUUGAGGCAGGAUAAAGAGCUCCAGCAACGAUUUCUUCGGUUUUUGGCAAUCAAAUGUGGGAGGGACCUAAAGACAACCGUGUGGUGAAUGCUUCAGAGUAUCUUCUCUAAUCACCUUUCCAUCAAUACAACCUGGACUGGUGUAGGGGAU